CCUACGGGAUGCAGCAGUGGGGAAUAUUGCGCAAUGGGCGAAAGCCUGACGCAGCGACGCCGCGUGAGGGAUGAAGGUCUUCGGAUCGUAAACCUCUGUCAGCAGGGAAGAACGGUCACUGUGCUAAUCAGCAGUGAAUUGACGGUACCUGCAAAGGAAGCACCGGCUAACUCCGUGCCAGCAGCCGCGGGAAUACGGAGGGGGCGAGCGUUAAUCGGAAUUACUGGGCGUAAAGCGCUCGUAGGCGGUAUGUCAAGUCAAGGGUGAAAUCCCCGCGCUCAACGUGGGAACUGCCUUUGAAACUGGCAGACUGGAGUGUGUGAGAGGAUAGUGGAAUUCCAGGGGUAGGAGUGAAAUCCGUAGAUAUCUGGAGGAACAUCAGUGGCGAAGGCGACUAUCUGGCACAUAACUGACGCUGAGGAGCGAAAGCGUGGGUAGCAAACAGGAUUAGAUACCCGGGUAGUC
This 465-nucleotide ribosomal RNA is filed under the name uncultured bacterium. RNAcentral's name for it is "partial 16S ribosomal RNA". It matches the Rfam family "Bacterial small subunit ribosomal RNA", at positions 338 to 795 of the family's 1533-position model. The record is from RNAcentral.